This 413-nucleotide ribosomal RNA is filed under the name Bacillus sp. 211-3.3-CV-H(h)-02. RNAcentral describes it as "bacterial SSU rRNA". It matches the Rfam family "Bacterial small subunit ribosomal RNA", at positions 74 to 484 of the family's 1533-position model. Lineage: Bacteria; Bacillati; Bacillota; Bacilli; Caryophanales; Bacillaceae. The record is from RNAcentral.
GGGAGCUUGCUCCCGUAAUUUAGCGGCGGACGGGUGAGUAACACGUGGGCAACCUGCCUGUAAGACUGGGAUAACUUCGGGAAACCGGAGCUAAUACCGGAUAAUUCUUUUCCUCUCAUGAGGGAAAGCUGAAAGAUGGUUUCGGCUAUCACUUACAGAUGGGCCCGCGGCGCAUUAGCUAGUUGGUGAGGUAAUGGCUCACCAAGGCAACGAUGCGUAGCCGACCUGAGAGGGUGAUCGGCCACACUGGGACUGAGACACGGCCCAGACUCCUACGGGAGGCAGCAGUAGGGAAUCUUCCGCAAUGGACGAAAGUCUGACGGAGCAACGCCGCGUGAGUGAUGAAGGUUUUCGGAUCGUAAAACUCUGUUGUUAGGGAAGAACAAGUACCGGAGUACUGCCGGUCCUUGACG